GAUCUAGGGACGCGCAUUUCAAGCGCCCGUGUUGUCGGGUCAAACCGGGCUGCGUUAGCGUUGCGGGCUCGGUCCGUUAGUGGCCUCCUAAGGGUCAUUGACGUGUCAACCGGCCCGCCCGUCCCCUCCUUCUGGAUUCCCGUUCCUGCUAUUGAGUUAGUGGGGACGUCACAGGGGAUUCAUCAUCAGUGUUGUGUCAAAGCGACACGGGUGGUGGAUCUCUGGGGCCCAGAUCGUUUACCGUGAAAAAAUUAGAGUGUUCAAAGCAGGCAGAUUCAAUUUUCUGCCACCGAAUACAUUAGCAUGGGAUAAUGGAAUAGGACCCUGUCCUCCUAUUUUCAGUUGGUUUUGGCAGCGCGAGGACUAGGGUAAUGAUUAAUAGGGAUAGUUGGGGGCAUUAAUAUUUAAUUGUCAGAGGUGAAAUUCUUGGAUUUAUGAAAGAUUAACUUCUGCGAAAGCAUCUGCCAAGGAUGUUUUCAUUAAUCAAGAACGAAAGUUAGGGGAUCGAAGACGAUCAGAUACCGUCGUAGUCUUAACCAUAAACGAUGCCGACCAGCGAUUAGGAGACGUUGAAUACAAAACACCACCAUCGGCGCGAUCGGCCUUGGCGUCUUCGUGUUCACGCACGACAGGCGCGAGGACGGUUUAGCCCGGUGGCACCGGUGAAUGACUCCCCUAGCAGCUUGUGAGAAAUCAUAAGUCUUUGGGUUCCGGGGGGAGUAUGGUCGCAAGGCUGAAACUUAAAGGAAUUGAC
Molecule: ribosomal RNA, 754 nt
Filed under: Acanthamoeba sp. S2 YH-2010
Lineage: Eukaryota; Discosea; Longamoebia; Acanthamoebidae
Description: SSU rRNA
Rfam family: Eukaryotic small subunit ribosomal RNA
Source: RNAcentral